GCUGUGGUAGUGUAAUGAUAAGCACUUCUGCCUAGGAAGCAAGAAGACCCGGGUUCGAGUCUCGGCCGCAGCA
Molecule: non-coding RNA, 73 nt
Organism: Schistocerca americana (American grasshopper)
Lineage: Eukaryota; Metazoa; Arthropoda; Insecta; Orthoptera; Acrididae
Source: the annotation of a RefSeq genome assembly